GACGAACGCUGGCGGCGUGCUUAACACAUGCAAGUCGAACGGAAAGGCCCCCAUCUUGGUGGGGGUGCUCGAGUGGCGAACGGGUGAGUAACACGUGGGUGAUCUGCCCUGUACUUCGGGAUAAGCUUGGGAAACUGGGUCUAAUACCGGAUAGGACCAUGGUUUAGUGUCUCAUGGUGGAAAGAUUAUUGUUUUGGUGCAGGAUGAGCUCGCGGCCUAUCAGCUUGUUGGUGGGGUAAUGGCCUACCAAGGCGUCGACGGGUAGCCGGCCUGAGAGGGUGGACGGCCACAUUGGGACUGAGAUACGGCCCAGACUCCUACGGGAGGCAGCAGUGGGGAAUAUUGCACAAUGGGCGCAAGCCUGAUGCAGCGACGCCGCGUGGGGGAUGACGGCCUUCGGGUGGGAAACUCCUUUCGUUAGGGACGAAGCCGCACUUUUUUUGGGUGUGGUGACGGUACCUUUGUUAAGAAGCACCGGCUAACUACGUG
This 489-nucleotide ribosomal RNA is filed under the name uncultured bacterium. RNAcentral's name for it is "partial 16S ribosomal RNA". It matches the Rfam family "Bacterial small subunit ribosomal RNA", at positions 28 to 507 of the family's 1533-position model. The record is from RNAcentral.